This is a non-coding RNA of Arachis ipaensis, 316 nucleotides long. NCBI's taxonomy places the organism in Eukaryota, Viridiplantae, Streptophyta, Magnoliopsida, Fabales, Fabaceae. The record is from RefSeq and is a predicted model, not a curated record.
AGGGAACAGAAAAAGUACAAGAAUCCUGAUAAAUAUAGCAGUUGGUGGCGUCCGCCUGUUGAGGAGGUGCUUGCAAAAUUAGCAACUCAUUUCACCAAAGUUCAUUCCAGGCAGUGUGUGGAUGAGGUUGAACUGGCUGAACAUGUUGUUGGCUUGACAGGCAGCCUGGCAUCUUGUCAAUUUAGAAAGAAGUUAACUCGAUUAUCUGUGAGUGCAAAUGGAGCCUUUGUUCCAAAGGACAAUGUUGAUCGUAAUGUAAUAAAGAAAUCGUUGUGGUGAGUGAUUUUUACAUCUUUUUACAGUGCUAAGAACCUCA